UUACACAGCUAGCGUGGCCAAAGCCCGAGCAGCUUCACUGACGUCAAUGAAGCUUCUUCGAAACAGGCGAGCUGUUCGGUACGGACUGUUGUUCCCAGCUCGGCUCCGCAAUCACUUACGACCCUUGGUGUGACACCCACAGGAUGACAACUACAAAAGCAAGCAGAGAAAUGCCAGCCAGGAUAUAAAAGGGCUGGUCGAGCCACAAAAAGAUACCAUUUGACUUCUGUCAAAUGUAUGGAUAUCGGUCCAGGAGCUCAGUGUGGACAUGGAGCCGAGACCGCAGCCUGUUAAAAUCCUCUCACCCGACUGCUGUGUGCUGUAUUCAACAAUGGAAAAAUAAAUCCCAUGUGAUAAUCCAACCAUCGCGGUGUCCAGAGUUGUGUCGUGCUGCUGAAGUGAGUCAAAACACACACAAAAAAGAAAUUAAAAUUCCCUGGAAAGGCUCCGUCUGAUACACAGUGUGACUGCUUGGCCCAUCUAUUCAUAUGACCAUAUCUGAAAAUCAUACUGAACAAAUUAUGUUCCACAUAUUUGAUAAAAUAACUCACUCGGUUACACUGGGGCAUCCCUGGCUUCAAUGUCAUAAACCACGGCUUGAUUGGUCUCUGGGUAAAAUUGAGUCAUGGGGACCUGCACGUAAUGAUUCCUGUCUGACAAAGUCUGUUCUACCCUCAAGUGUAAUUAAGUCAGAUCUAGAGGGGGUCCCAUCUUGCUACCAUGAUCUCGCUGAAGUCUUUAGCAAAGCUAAGGCUAAGUCACUUCCGCCCCACCGCAAGUACGACUGUGCCAUUGACCUUCUCCCGGGGGCUGCGCCCCCCCGAGGCAAGAUGUUCUCUAUUUUUGCACCAGAACGUCUAGCAAUGAACACCUAUAUUCAGGAGUCACUCGCAACUGGUUUGAUUCAUCCUUCAUCUUCGCCCGCAGGGGCGGGGUAUUUCCUCUGUGUUCGAACUGGUAGGAGAAGCCAAGGUUUUUACGGAGGUAGAUUUACGGAACGCGUAUCACCUGGUACACAUACGCCCAGGGGAUGAAUGGAAAACCGCCUUUAAUACACCCACAGGCCACUACGAAUAUCUUGUAAUGCCGUUUGGUCUUACUAACGUUCCUGCUGUGGUCCAAAAUCUUAUAAAUGACGUACUGUGCAAGUACCUUAAUAAAUGUGUCUUUGUUUAUCUCAAUGACAUUCUCAUUUACUCACCUGAUUUGAAAAACUCACACACAACAGGUCCAGACCAUUCUCCAAACACUUCUGCAAAAUGGCCUUUUUGUCAAAGCCGAAAAAUGUGAGUUCCACCGUUCUACAGUAUUGUUCUUGGGAUUUGUCACUUCUGAGGGGGAGAUCCAGAUGGAUCUUGCUAAGGUUGCAGCGGUUCGUGAUUGGGUGGUUCCAAGUAGUUGUAAGGACGUUCAGAGGUUCCUUGGUUUCGCCAACUUCUAUCAUCAGUUUAUCCAUAACUUCAGUACCAUCGCAGCUCCUCUGCAUAAUGCUACCUCCUCGCAACGGUCUUUUGUGUGGACCCCAGAAUGCGAGGUGUUCCAGAACCUAAAGUACUGUUUUACAAUGGCCCCUGUGCUGCUCUUUCCUGACCCCGCCUGGCAGUUCGUGGUCGAAGUUGAUGCGUCCAACACUGGUAUUGAGGCCAUUCUCUCUCAAACAAGGCCCUGCGACAAUAAAUUACAUCCCUGUGCAUGUGCAUUCAUGUCCAAGAGACUUACUGCUGCUGAACAAAAUUACAGCAUCAGAGAUUGCGAACUGCUGGCGGUCAAAGUGGCCUUGGAGGAGUGGCAUCAUUGGUUGGAGGGAGCACAGUUGCCUUUCACUGUUCCGUUCCCGGUAUAGAAAAUCAUUAACCCUAUCUCUGUCCGUCUCCGCCUUCCAAGGUCCAUGAGGGUUCACCCAACAUUUCAUGUCAGCCACCUGAAUGAAGCCUGUACGGUCCAGGCCUUUGUGCCCACCUGCUGAUCCCCCGCCGGCUGCCGGUUCAUGGAUGGGGGGCCCCGUCUUCCACCACUCCUCAGUGCUGACAGUGAGCACUGGGGCCCCUCAGGGCUGUGUGCUCAGCCUCAUGUUGUACACUUUGUACACCCAUGACUGUGCACCAACCCACAGCAGCAACAUCUUUGUAAAAAUUGCGGAUGACACUACUGUGGUUGGGCUGAUUCACAACAAUGAUGAGACGGCCUAUAGAGAGGAGGUCCUGAACCUCACUACUUGGUGCUCCCUAAAUAAUCUGGCACUUAACUCCUCAAAGACAAAAGAAUUGGUGCUAGAUUUCAGGCAGAAGAGGGAGGACCCCCCCCUUCUCAUUCAGGGAGACACUGUAGAGAUGGUCAGUGACUUCAAGUUCCUGGGAACAUACAUUUCUCAGGACCUUACAUGGGGCACCAACAUCAAUG
This is a long non-coding RNA of Thalassophryne amazonica, 2400 nucleotides long. RefSeq lists it as uncharacterized. NCBI's taxonomy places the organism in Eukaryota, Metazoa, Chordata, Actinopteri, Batrachoidiformes, Batrachoididae. The transcript is spliced from 3 exons. The record is from RefSeq and is a predicted model, not a curated record.